This 454-nucleotide long non-coding RNA is filed under the name Equus asinus (donkey). RNAcentral describes it as "lncRNA (ENSEASG00005029300.1)". The record is from RNAcentral. Lineage: Eukaryota; Metazoa; Chordata; Mammalia; Perissodactyla; Equidae.
GCCUGAAAGUUCCACUCAGUAAGUUGCUCUUCUGCCUUAAAUCUGGAGGCAACACAGCGUGGUGGGAAGAACACUGAACUUGGAGUCAUUCAUUCAUCGAAUGCCUGCCAGGGCCCCAGUCUCCUACUUACUGGGUAGACCUGGGCUCUUGGACUUUCACUUCCCUGUAAGACAGGGUGACAAUACUUGCUCUGCCUACAUCAUACCACACCGUUGUGAAGACGAAAUGAAACACUGCUUUCGAAGGUACCUGGAACCAGGAAGUUGUAGGUCCUUCUGGUUGUGCUGUGGGGGAUGCCGCCUCAGUACGGCCUGAUGAGUGGUACUAUGUCCGUGCCCAGGAUCUGAACCGGUGAAACCCUGGGCCGCCGAAGCAGAGCCUGCAAACUUAACCAUCCGGCCACAGGGCCAGCCCUGCCACAGGAUGUUCAUUACACACAGUUCCUGAGUUUCC